GGUAGAGUGGGAGAGUGGUUAAUCCGCCUGUUUGCUACACAGGUCUCUUUAUGAGUCGUGGGUUCGAAUCCCACCUCUAUCA
Molecule: transfer RNA, 82 nt
Filed under: Hepatospora eriocheir
Lineage: Eukaryota; Fungi; Microsporidia; Hepatosporidae
Rfam family: tRNA
About the family: Transfer RNA (tRNA) molecules are approximately 80 nucleotides in length.
Source: Rfam by way of RNAcentral